RNAcentral lists this ribosomal RNA (493 nucleotides) under uncultured bacterium. RNAcentral's name for it is "bacterial SSU rRNA". It matches the Rfam family "Bacterial small subunit ribosomal RNA", at positions 28 to 507 of the family's 1533-position model. The record is from RNAcentral.
GAUGAACGCUAGCUACAGGCUUAACACAUGCAAGUCGAGGGGAAACGAUAGAGAAAGCUUGCUUUUUCUAGGCGUCGACCGGCGCACGGGUGAGUAACGCGUAUCCAACCUGCCCAUCACUUGGGGAUAACCUUGCGAAAGUAAGACUAAUACCCAAUGACGUCUCUAGAAGACAUCUGAAAGAGAUUAAAGAUUUAUCGGUGAUGGAUGGGGAUGCGUCUGAUUAGCUUGUUGGCGGGGUAACGGCCCACCAAGGCGACGAUCAGUAGGGGUUCUGAGAGGAAGGUCCCCCCACAUUGGAACUGAGACACGGUCCAAACUCCUACGGGAGGCAGCAGUGAGGAAUAUUGGUCAAUGGACGAGAGUCUGAACCAGCCAAGUAGCGUGCAGGAAGACGGCCCUAUGGGUUGUAAACUGCUUUUAUAAGGGAAUAAAGUGAGUCUCGUGAGACUUUUUGCAUGUACCUUAUGAAUAAGGACCGGCUAAUUCCGUG